GACCACCAAACCUAACAUACAUUAAUUUCUCUCCAAAAAAAUAUAUAGCAUUAAGUAUAUCAACAUAUAAUAAUAAACAAAAAAAAUAUAUGGCAAUUUCCUUCUAUUCCAAGUAAGGGGUCAUUCAGAAUCAUGCCAACAAACAAGCAUUUUGAUACACUUCCGCAGAAUAUAGAAUCUGCCUCUAUGCUCCUUCACAACCCCACUGCAUUUCCGCCCCAACGAUGAUCCAGUGCCUCUCUGCAUUUUUUGCGGCUUAUCAUCUUGCAUUAUGAACUCUGAAAUG
RNAcentral lists this long non-coding RNA (286 nucleotides) under Lathyrus oleraceus (garden pea). RNAcentral describes it as "Pisum sativum (pea) long non-coding RNA (PSAT_LNC026432)". Lineage: Eukaryota; Viridiplantae; Streptophyta; Magnoliopsida; Fabales; Fabaceae. The record is from RNAcentral.